Molecule: ribosomal RNA, 200 nt
Filed under: uncultured bacterium
Lineage: Bacteria
Description: partial 16S ribosomal RNA
Rfam family: Bacterial small subunit ribosomal RNA
Source: RNAcentral
AGAGUUUGAUCAUGGCUCAGGACGAACGCUGGCGGCGUGCUUAACACAUGCAAGUCGAGCGAACCUUCGGGUUAGCGGCGAACGGGUGAGUAACACGUGAGCAACCUGCCCCUGGCUCUGGGAUAGCCUCCGGAAACGGGGAUUAAUACCGGAUAGGAUCCUGGUCCUCAUGGACCGGGGUGGAAAGUUUUUCGGCCAGG